GAUAACUGGUGGACAUGAAGACUGAAACAACUCCGAGUGUGUGCUUGUUUGGCAUGAGCUUCUUCUUCUUUCGUUAAUGAGACUAGAGUUUAGUAACAGCACUAUAUUU
Small nucleolar RNA from Papaver somniferum (opium poppy), 109 nucleotides. RefSeq annotates it as small nucleolar RNA snoR97. The record is from RefSeq and is a predicted model, not a curated record. NCBI's taxonomy places the organism in Eukaryota, Viridiplantae, Streptophyta, Magnoliopsida, Ranunculales, Papaveraceae. The transcript has a single exon.